This is a long non-coding RNA of Chelonia mydas (Green sea turtle), 234 nucleotides long. RefSeq lists it as uncharacterized. The record is from RefSeq and is a predicted model, not a curated record. NCBI's taxonomy places the organism in Eukaryota, Metazoa, Chordata, Testudines, Cheloniidae. The transcript is spliced from 4 exons.
ACUACGAUUUCAAGUGGAGAAAGAGAAAGAAAAAUAUCUUGCAGGAUUUGUGCUCAGAAAAGCCGGAAGAUUUGCAGGAGGUGGCUGGAGGAGAUGGAGGAGAAGAUAGCCCAUCCUGUAGGGGAUAAAUGGAUUUAAAGACCUCUUUCUCUAGAUCCAGGACAACGAAACACUAUUUAUGAACUUCUGGUGCACAGAUGCCAACUUUCAGCUUUCCCCAGGGGUGCUCCGGCC